GUUGCAUGAUUUUCUAACUAGAUGUGUAUGUGAUUUUUAGAUGCUUAAUUGCAGUUAGUUAGUUGCUUAAUUUUUGGAAAUGGUUUGAAAAAUGCUUUCAAGUAAUUGCAGUUACUUAGUUGCUUAAUUUCAUUUUUAAGAUGAGAUAUGAGUUUCUAACUAGAUGUGUAUGUGAUUUUUAGAACUGUUGUGACUUCAAGUUUGUUUACUUAUGCAUUGUUAUGACUUUGAAUCCAAGAUGAAUAAUAUUGGAAUGGUUUUAGAUAGUUUUACUGUAAAACCAUUAGAUGUACUUAAUGGUUUUGCCUUUGAAUCCAAGAUGCAUAAUGUUAUAUAUAAU
Molecule: long non-coding RNA, 340 nt
Filed under: Trifolium pratense (red clover)
Lineage: Eukaryota; Viridiplantae; Streptophyta; Magnoliopsida; Fabales; Fabaceae
Description: long non-coding RNA (TPRA_LNC012873)
Source: RNAcentral